GUUGCAUGCACAUUAUCAUAUAUAUAUAUAAAAAAAAAAGUACAGAUAUUUACAGUCAUUUAAGAGGGAGUAGUCUGUGCAAUAAAAGGCACACAUGACCUUUGACCCUGCAUGAAUGUCCCAUAAGUACAUUUUUCACAGACACUGCCACAUAUUGUGUUACCAUGCUACACACACCAGGAGAAAAAAAGCACUCGAGCCGCUGCAGAGGAGACGUGUGUUGGUGUGUGAUAGAGAUUCACUGACAAGCAGCAGAGCCGUAAAGUGCCCUCUUGAUUGUGCCUAGACACGAUCCUAUCCUCUCAGCAGCCUGAGGCAAAGUUGAAAGUCUUUUUCAGCCAUAAUGAUAAAGCAAGCAGAGACGGUGACUCACUAAGAACAGAAUUCCACAAUCUGUAGGACAAUCUACAGUCAUCAGAGAUUCAGGAUAUUUGGCGAAUGAUUAUCAAUGUCCUACGUGCACCUUCUGUUUGAUAAGGCAGUAAGGCCUGUUGGAUGAGGCAUGAGGCUAAUGCUGAGAGACUGACUACUUGAGUUUUUUUCCCCCCCAUACAGUCAUAAGACGGCUGGGCUGGAAACAAAGGGCUAAAGGUGGUAAUCACACGAUUGGUCUGACUGGCAGCUUGACUCUCCAAUCUGUUCUGUAGUCCUAUGUUGAAUUUUCUUGCCUGUGAAAACGAAUAGAUUUAUAUUUUGUAUUCAGUCAAUUCACCAUUUGCUAAGCCCCACCACCAAAACAGCAACAGACCAAGUCAUAGUUUCAAAAAUGUAAUAAGAAAAAGCGAAUUUGGAUUUGUAAACAUGCUAAAACAUUGUGAACGGGCCUCUACUGUGAUCAAUAUCCUGUGUAAAGAGAUAACAAUAGUAGCACUGUCUAUUUUAUCCUUUACAGAAGUAAAUGACAGUAGCAAGUAAGCAGUUUACCACCUACAGAAGUACCCUAGCAUUAUUUCCUAAACCAAAUGACAAUUUCACAUUGUGUAGGGCUACAUUACAAAAAUACCUGUUCAGAACUGGAACAACUACAGCAAUGAGAGCAAGGAGUAACAAAAGCAGCUCUGCCCUCAUCUUUAUUUGGUUUGGAGGGAAAUGAGCACUGAAACCUGUUUUAAAGAGCAUCAGAUUUGCUCGCUGGGUUUUUGUUACAUUUUCUGCAGCAAAAGAAAAUGACCUUGCAAGAAUAGAUAAAAAUAAAUCAAACCACUGUGACGCCUGUCCAAGUAUGUCCUUAUAUAUAGCUGUGGAUUUCCACAGCUAUCAACAUAAACUGUGAACAUGUACCAACACUAACUUGUAGUGGGGCUCAGCAAAUGGUUGUGUGAGCGCUUGUUUUGUUGUUCGCAGCUUUGCUUUUUUAACUAACACUGGGGGUGCUGCUUUUGGAUAUUUAAUGUUUAACAAGAUGUGCAACUAGUCGACUAGACAUUUAAAUAUUGCUGCUCUUGCUAAUCAGUGCUAGAAGUGCUAGUCAGUUAAAUGUAUUGUCCUUUUUUUCUUCAUGUACAACGGCAAUAACUGGUUCAAAGAACUUGCUGCGCCACCGUGGCAUCUGGUGCUAACCAUGCUAGCCAGUGCUGUUGUGCAGAAUUUUAAAAAACUAAAUUAAGAGAGACUGUAUGUCAGCUUUGUCAGGAUAAACUGGAAAGUAACCAGGCAUCUGACGUGAUGUGCAACGAUACUGUGCACUGGAAUGUGG
Molecule: long non-coding RNA, 1696 nt
Organism: Astatotilapia calliptera (eastern happy)
Lineage: Eukaryota; Metazoa; Chordata; Actinopteri; Cichliformes; Cichlidae
Source: Ensembl